AUCCAGCCGAUGAGUCCCAAAUAAGACGAAACGCGAGUACUGGAU
This 45-nucleotide non-coding RNA is filed under the name Schistosoma mansoni. The record is from RNAcentral. Lineage: Eukaryota; Metazoa; Platyhelminthes; Trematoda; Strigeidida; Schistosomatidae.